AGUGAACGCUGGCGGUAGGCCUAACACAUGCAAGUCGAACGGCAGCACAGUAAGAGCUUGCUCUUACGGGUGGCGAGUGGCGGACGGUUGAGGAAUACAUCCGAAUUUACGUUUUCGUGGGGGCUAACGUAGGGAAACUUACGCCAAUACCGCAUACGACCUACGGGUGAAAGCAGGGGAUCUUCGGACCUUGCGCGAUUGAAUGAGGCGAUGUCGGAUUAGCGAGUUGGCGGGGUAAAGGCCCACCAAGGCGACGAUCCGUAGCUGGUCUGAGAGGAUGAUCAGUCACACUGGAACUGAGACACAGUCCAGACUCCUACGGGAGGCAGCAGUGGGGAAUAUUGGACAAUGGGCGCAAGCCUGAUCCAGCCAUACCGCGUGGGUGAAGAAGGCCUUCGGGUUGUAAAGCCCUUUUGUUGGGAAAGAAAAGCAGCAGGUUAAUACCCCGCUGUUCUGACGGUACCCAAAGAAUAAGCACCGGCUAACUUCGUG
RNAcentral lists this ribosomal RNA (492 nucleotides) under uncultured bacterium. RNAcentral describes it as "partial 16S ribosomal RNA". It matches the Rfam family "Bacterial small subunit ribosomal RNA", at positions 29 to 507 of the family's 1533-position model. The record is from RNAcentral.